GACGAACCGUGCGAACGUUGUUCGGAAUCACUGGGCUUAAAGGGCGCGUAGGCGGGCUAACAAGUCUGGGGUGAAAUGCCGCGGCUCAACCGUGGAACUGCCUCAGAUACUGUCGGCCUCGAGGAAGGUAGGGGCAUGCGGAACUGUAGGUGGAGCGGUGAAAUGCGUUGAUAUCUACAGGAACUCCGGUGGCGAAAGCGGCGUGCUGGACCUUUUCUGACGCUGAGGCGCGAAAGCUAGGGGAGCAAACAGG
RNAcentral lists this ribosomal RNA (253 nucleotides) under uncultured bacterium. RNAcentral's name for it is "partial 16S ribosomal RNA". It matches the Rfam family "Bacterial small subunit ribosomal RNA", at positions 524 to 776 of the family's 1533-position model. The record is from RNAcentral.